Molecule: ribosomal RNA, 440 nt
Filed under: uncultured bacterium
Lineage: Bacteria
Description: partial 16S ribosomal RNA
Rfam family: Bacterial small subunit ribosomal RNA
Source: RNAcentral
CCUACGGGCGGCAGCAGUGGGGGAUAUUGCACAAUGGGGGAAACCCUGAUGCAGCGACGCCGCGUGUGGGAAGACGGUCCUCUGGAUUGUAAACCACUGUCCCCAGGGACGAAGAUGACGGUACCUGGGGAGGAAGCUCCGGCUAACUACGUGCCAGCAGCCGCGGUAAUACGGAGGGAGCGAGCGGAGUCCGGAAUUACUGGGUGAAAAGGGAGCGUAGGCGGGGAUGCAAGUUGGGUGUCAAAACUACCGGCUCAACUGGUAGUCGCACUCAAAACUGCAGCUCUUGAGUGAAGUAGAGGCAGGCGGAAUUCCUAGUGUAGCGGUGAAAUGCGUAGAUAUUAGGAGGAACACCAGUGGCGAAGGCGGCCUGCUGGGCUUUUACUGACGCUGAGGCUCGAAAGUGUGGGGAGCAAACAGGAUUAGAUACCCCAGUAGUC